This 650-nucleotide ribosomal RNA is filed under the name uncultured bacterium. RNAcentral's name for it is "bacterial SSU rRNA". It matches the Rfam family "Bacterial small subunit ribosomal RNA", at positions 68 to 762 of the family's 1533-position model. The record is from RNAcentral.
GGUUGUAGCAGUACAGCAGUGGCAGACGGGUGAGUAACACGUGGGAACCUACCUAGGGGUACGGAAUAACUCAGGGAAACUUGUGCUAAUACCGUAUACGACCUUCGGGUGAAAGAUUUAUCGCCCCUAGAUGGGCCCGCGUUGGAUUAGCUAGUUGGUGGGGUAAAAGCCUACCAAGGCGACGAUCCAAAGCUGGUCUGAGAGGAUGAUCAGCCACACUGGGACUGAGCCAGGAUCAAACCCUCAACGGGAGGCAGCAGUAGGGAAUCUUGGACAAUGGGCGAAAGCCUGAUCCAGCCAUGCCGCGUGAGUGAUGAAGGCCUUAGGGUUGUAAAGCUCUUUCGCCAGGGAAGAUAAUGACGGUACCUGGAUAAGAAGCCCCGGCAAACUUCGUGCCAGCAGCCGCGGUAAUACGAAGGGGGCUAGCGUUGUUCGGAAUUACUGGGCGUAAAGCGCACGUAGGCGGUUUUCCAAGUUGGAGGUGAAAUCCCUGGGCUCAACCCGGGAACUGCCUCCAAAACUGGAUGACUCGAGUCCGAGAGAGGUGAGUGGAAUUUCCAGUGUAGAGGUGAAAUUCGUAGAUAUUGGAAAGAACACCAGUGGCGAAGGCGGCUCACUGGCUCGGUACUGACGCUGAGGUGCGACAGCGU